Long non-coding RNA from Fukomys damarensis (Damara mole-rat), 588 nucleotides. RefSeq lists it as uncharacterized. The transcript is spliced from 3 exons. The record is from RefSeq and is a predicted model, not a curated record. Lineage: Eukaryota; Metazoa; Chordata; Mammalia; Rodentia; Bathyergidae.
ACAAUAGCUGCAGAGUGCAACCAGUUCAGCACCUGCCAUAUCCCCUGGACAGUGUUCCAGGUCAGAAAGCAUUUUAGGGAGGGGCCAACUGAAGCUGGAACUCAGUCAGCCUCAGAGCUCCCCAGGUUAAAUUCCCAAGGUGACUGGGUAUGGGACAACCACGGGAGACAUGCAUGGUCAACGAGCUGUGGCCAGGCCAUUAAUGGACAGCCAGAGUGUUAUGAACUAAAUAACUCAGGCGCCAUCCCUGUGACCAGAGGUCAGGUUCAGUCUGAGCUUUCAUGGUGAUCCUCAGACCCAUCUACCAUCACUCAACCUAACCAGCCUGUGGAGUUCAUCCCACCUCUCACCCUAUACUUGGGUGAACCUAAAUUAGCUCCAAAUCUCAACCAUCUUCCUGGAGAAGGAAGCUCUACACCUUGUCUCUGACUUGGAAACUUUGGUCUGUCACCUACUUUGUUGACCAGAAGGUCCUGUAAGAAUAGUGAAGCUUCUAGGAUUCAUCCCACCCAAUAUGGACCAGGACUCAGCUCCUGCAUAGGGUCUGAUCAAGGGACACAAUUUUGAGUCUAGAGGCCGGCUAUCCAC